UAGUUUGAUCCUGGCUCAGAAUCAACGCUGGCGGCGUGCCUAACACAUGCAAGUCGAACGCGAAAGGGGCUUCGGCCCCGAGUAGAGUGGCGAACGGGUGAGUAACACGUGGGUGAUCUACCUUUGAGUGGGGGAUAACGUUCCGAAAGGAGCGCUAAUACCGCAUGACGUUCUGGGUUUGAAGGCCUGGAAACCAAAGCUGGGGCCCUUGGGGAAACCUAAGGCCUGGCGCUUAGAGAGGAGCCCGCGCCUGAUUAGCUAGUUGGUGAGGUAAUGGCUCACCAAGGCGACGAUCAGUAGCCGGCCUGAGAGGGCGGACGGCCACACUGGGACUGAGACACGGCCCAGACUCCUACGGGAGGCGGCAGUGGGGAAUUGUUCGCAAUGGGCGCAAGCCUGACGACGCAACGCCGCGUGGAGGAUGAAGGUCUUCGGAUUGUAAACUCCUGUUGACCGGGAAGAAUAGGUUUCGGCCGAAUACGCCGGGACAAUGACGGUACCGGUUGAGGAAGCCACGGCUAACUCUGUGCCAGCAGCCGCGGUAAUACAGAGGUGGCAAGCGUUGUUCGGAAUUACUGGGCGUAAAGGGCGCGUAGGCGGCCUUGUCAGUCAGACGUGAAAUCCCCAGGCUUAACCUGGGAACUGCGUCUGAUACUACAAGGCUCGAGUGCGGGAGAGGGAUGUGGAAUUCCAGGUGUAGCGGUGAAAUGCGUAGAUAUCUGGAGGAACACCGGUGGCGAAAGCGGCAUCCUGGACCGACACUGACGCUGAGGCGCGAAAGCUAGGGGAGCAAACGGGAUU
Molecule: ribosomal RNA, 801 nt
Filed under: uncultured bacterium
Lineage: Bacteria
Description: bacterial SSU rRNA
Rfam family: Bacterial small subunit ribosomal RNA
Source: RNAcentral